Microplitis mediator is the source of this 807-nucleotide long non-coding RNA. RefSeq lists it as uncharacterized. Lineage: Eukaryota; Metazoa; Arthropoda; Insecta; Hymenoptera; Braconidae. The transcript has 3 exons. The record is from RefSeq and is a predicted model, not a curated record.
GAUUCAUUCCGAACUGAACCUUCGAAUCGGAUAGUUUGCUUGAAAUAUCAGUGGAUAUCGUGUUGUAUUUCACAGUGUUAAAAAAAUGUUCGUUUUAGUUUUUUGGAUUAAAACCUUGCAAAAGUCUGUUAUUAACGAAAAAGACAUUUGCAUUCCAUCGAGCCCAGACGUUACAGCAGAAGUAGGGGAUAUUGUACUAUAGUGAAAUGGGGAAAAUCUAAGUCUCAAACGAAGAUUCUCCGAUACAUCAGGUCUAAAGAAGAAUUAGAAAAAAUAAAUGUUGGGGAAAGAUGGGAACAUCAUUGAUAAAGCAACAAGAAACUCGAAAAAAAACAAUUCAACAAAAAUAUUGCAGAGAAAAAAAGUUUUAGUAAAUUCAAACUAUUAUCUCAAAAAGCUUGUAAGCAAACUGAGAAAUAUUAUAAUGAAGAACUUUUAUCGAGUUUACUUGAAAAAAAUUGCGAAGAUGAAGAUAAUUACACAGAUGACGAUGAGAUAGUAGCCGAUACAAUUCGAGAUGACAAUAAAACAUCAGAAAUCGAUGAAAUCAGUAAAUCAUGUCAUAUUUCAGUUUCCGAUAAUAGUAUUAGUACCACGUGCGAACUUUGUUCAUCAUUACCUGUAACAUUAGUUACUGCAUAGGCUAUCAUGUGUAUGGAACAUGUUUUAAAAUUUUUAAAGACUAUAUAUUAUCAGAAAGUAUCUAUUGAAACAGCAAAUAGUAGUGUAAGUAAUGAGUAAAAUAAUAAUGCAUUAUACUCCUGUAUAAGAAAAUUUAAAUUAAUUUUAAAUGUAAUAUUUAAUAAU